RNAcentral lists this ribosomal RNA (468 nucleotides) under uncultured bacterium. RNAcentral describes it as "partial 16S ribosomal RNA". It matches the Rfam family "Bacterial small subunit ribosomal RNA", at positions 28 to 507 of the family's 1533-position model. The record is from RNAcentral.
GACGAACGCUGGCGGCGUGCUUAACACAUGCAAGUCGAACGGAAAGGCCCUGCUUUUGUGGGGUGCUCGAGUGGCGAACGGGUGAGUAACACGUGAGUAACCUGCCCUUGACUUUGGGAUAACUUCAGGAAACUGGGGCUAAUACCGGAUAGGAGCUCCUGCUGCAUGGUGGGGGUUGGAAAGUUUCGGCGGUUGGGGAUGGACUCGCGGCUUAUCAGCUUGUUGGUGGGGUAGUGGCUUACCAAGGCUUUGACGGGUAGCCGGCCUGAGAGGGUGACCGGACACAUUGGGACUGAGAUACGGCCCAGACUCCUACGGGAGGCAGCGGUGGGGAAUAGUGCACAAUGGGCGGAAGCCUGAUGCAGCAACGCAGCGUGCGGGAUGACGGCCUUCGGGUUGUAAACCGCUUUCGCCUGUGACGAAGCGUGAGUGACGGUAAUGGGUAAAGAAGCACCGGCUAACUACGUG